ACGAACGCUGGCGGCGUGCCUAAUACAUGCAAGUAGAACGCUGAAGAGAGGAGCUUGCUCUUCUUGGAUGAGUUGCGAACGGGUGAGUAACGCGUAGGUAACCUGCCUUGUAGCGGGGGAUAACUAUUGGAAACGAUAGCUAAUACCGCAUAACAAUGGAUGACACAUGUCAUUUAUUUGAAAGGGGCAAUUGUUCCACUCCAAGAUGGACCUGCGUUGUAUUAGCUAGUAGGUGAGGUAAUGGCUCACCUAGGCGACGAUACAUAGCCGACCUGAGAGGGUGAUCGGCCACACUGGGACUGAGACACGGCCCAGACUCCUACGGGAGGCAGCAGUAGGGAAUCUUCGGCAAUGGGGGCAACCCUGACCGAGCAACGCCGCGUGAGUGAAGAAGGUUUUCGGAUCGUAAAGCUCUGUUGUAAGUCAAGAACGGGUGUGAGAGUGGAAAGUUCACACUGUGACGGUAGCUUACCAGAAAGGGACGGCUAACUACGUG
This 496-nucleotide ribosomal RNA is filed under the name uncultured bacterium. RNAcentral describes it as "partial 16S ribosomal RNA". It matches the Rfam family "Bacterial small subunit ribosomal RNA", at positions 29 to 507 of the family's 1533-position model. The record is from RNAcentral.